RNAcentral lists this unclassified non-coding RNA (315 nucleotides) under Hevea brasiliensis (rubber tree). The record is from RNAcentral. Lineage: Eukaryota; Viridiplantae; Streptophyta; Magnoliopsida; Malpighiales; Euphorbiaceae.
GCCUUGGUGUUAGGGUCUUCAAAUUCCCUUUCAUCUUUAAAACCUGUACCAGAAAGUUUCAGUUGAUAAGGGGGCAGGUUAUGCUUCUGGUCAUCAUAAUUAUCAUAUUCAUCCAUUGCUUUGCUCGCGUUCAAGUGAUUUCUUGCCAUUACAACUGCAAGGACUGAUGUGGCUUUAUUGAUAGGAAUGGUACUCUGAACAUGCUGGUCUACGGCUGUCUCAAAUGCAAGAUGAGCAACUAGCAACCGAAUUAUACUAUUCUGGGCAAAAAGAUCUUGGCAUGCGGGAUAAUUCGCCGCAAGCUCAGAAACAGCC